Molecule: ribosomal RNA, 433 nt
Filed under: uncultured bacterium
Lineage: Bacteria
Description: partial 16S ribosomal RNA
Rfam family: Bacterial small subunit ribosomal RNA
Source: RNAcentral
AACGAACGCUGGCGGCAUGCCUAACACAUGCAAGUCGAACGAGACCUUCGGGUCUAGUGGCGCACGGGUGCGUAACGCGUGGGAACCUGCCCUUAGGCUCGGAAUAACUCCCCGAAAGGGGUGCUAAUACCGGACAAUGUCUUCGGCCCAAAGAUUUAUCGCCUUUGGAUGGGCCGGCGUUGGAUUAGCUAGUUGGUAGGGUAAAAGCCUACCAAGGCGACGAUUCAUAGCUGGUCUGAGAGGAUGAUCAGCCACACUGGGACUGAGACACGGCCCAGACUCCUACGGGAGGCAGCAGUGGGGAAUAUUGGACAAUGGGGGAAAGCCUGAACCAGCAAUGCCGCGUGAGUGAUGAAGGCCUUAGGGUUGUAAAGCUCUUUUACCCGGGAUGGUAAUGACGGUACCGAGAGAAUAAGCUCCGGCUAACUCCGUG